AUGGCGAGUGAUGUUAUGGUUUUGACUUUUUUAAAGUGAAGAUAUAUAUUGUAGUUAAACGAUAACUUAAAGCAAAAAUCAUACUCCAAAUUUACACCUAUUAAAACUUGGAUCUAAGAUAUGACAUUAAAAUGAGAUCUAAUGUGACAUGGAUUCGGCUAAUUUGUGCAGUAAGAGAAAAGGGAGGGAGAAAAUUAUUAUAUUGGGAGUGAUAAAAUAGUAGGUGAGAGAUUAAUGGUAAAACAGUGGAUGUAAGCACCAAACAACUCAUCAAAAUACAACGUGUAUUAUCCAAAUACCACCAUUCAAAAUCAUAUCUCACAUCUCCAAAUACCACCAUUCAAAAGCAUUGGAGGAAAUCACCACCGACACCACAACACCACCAUUGAACCACCGCCACCACAGCACAACAACCGAACCUGCACAGCCACCGCGGUUCCAUCAUUUGCUCCAAAUGAAACGUUUCCUUUUAGUAGGAAUGCUACAUCUGUGAUCUGCCUGAACCGUUUUGUUGGGAGAUUAUGCAAUUAAUAAAACCAUCGGCCGUCUCUUCUUGUUGAACCGGUGACGGUGGAGUAAAUUGAAAAUCUGUGCAGAAUCCGGCCGGUGCCGACUACGUUGGGGUUUUGUGGCAGAUUACUUUGCGGCGGAAUAGUAUUAUUAAUUGGAAAUUGAGUGACUGGAUUUAUGAAUGCAACUCCCCUCACACCAUGAGUCUGCCAAGGUUUCAGAUGGGUGAUACAUGACCGGCGGUUAUUCUGGUUGUGUGAGGGUUAUAUAGGUGUAGAAACGGUUCUGACGGCGGUGAAACGAUGGUGGGGGGAGACACGUCGGUGGAUGAAUGUUUGUGUCGGUUCCAUAACGGUGUGUCUACCACCGGUGGAGUAUAAAAAAUAUUAACUUUCAACUAUACUUGGACUUGAGGGAAAGAUGAUAUCAUUUAAUGAAUAGUGGGAUAAGUCCAAGCAUUUGGAACGGUGGCUUUGCAUGGUUAUGUGACGGUUUAUUUAUCUUUGGUGCAACAGUGGGUUUAAUGCAAGUUUUGAAACAGUGGCGUUGCAUUUGAAACGGUGCGAUAGUUAUUUGGUUGGUAAAUGUAUAAGAGUAUAAUUUCUGAGGUUGUGGUCGAUAACAUGGAGGUUCGAGCGGCAUUUCAAAGUCAUUUCACAGGGUUAGGCUGGUUCUAAGGAAGUCCUCAUUUUAACCCCUAUGGAAUUAUUAAGGCCAUCUCAUGGAGACGUUGUUUUAAUUUUUUUUUUUUUUGUUAGUUGCUUUACGAUAUGGUGUAAUAUUUUUGACAAACACUAGAUGAUAUGUAGUGUAUUUUUUGUUUUUUUUUUUUUUGUAUAAAACAUGUUUAAAAGCAAGAUUAUGUUGGGCUCUUUUAUGAGAAAAAAAUUGGUUAUUUGU
This 1410-nucleotide long non-coding RNA is filed under the name Helianthus annuus (common sunflower). RNAcentral's name for it is "hypothetical non coding rna". The record is from RNAcentral. Lineage: Eukaryota; Viridiplantae; Streptophyta; Magnoliopsida; Asterales; Asteraceae.